GCUGCAAUAUCAGUGGUACACUGCUCUACGGUGUCCUCGACAUCGCCCACACGGAGGAGUGUAAAUGGCAGAGACUAUGCUGCUGAGGCCUCACAGCUGCGAGCAGAUUUUUGAAAUCAACCCAUGGUAAGGAGGAGUGCAGUGAAGCAAGGGAUCCUGAGUAAUUGUUGGUUCAUGACCUCAGCAUACAGAGACCCUCCACUUGAAGACCUAACUUCCUGCAAUCACCCGACACUAAAUGUCUUACAUUGAAAUAAAAGAUAAAACAACUCUGUACACUGUCAUAGUUCUGCAAUGUUUAUAUGUGUAUUUUUUUUUUCAAAUGUAAUGUAAGCCAAGUUGCAUUGAAACAGAGGUGGUGACAUGGUUCUGUGCAAAAGUUUUAGGCAGGUGUGAAAAAAUGCUGUAAAUCAUCAAGUCUGUCUAGGAUUACAUGAAGAGACAGAAGGAUUUGAGGAAGCCUACAUCCAAGAAGAUCUGUGGUUAGUUCUCCAAGAUGUUUGGAACAACGUACCAGCUAAGUUCCUUCAAAAACUGUGUGCUAGUGUACCUAGAAGAAUCACACCACAUAUUGAUUUGAUCUAGAUUUCUCUUCUGUUCAUUCACUGCAUUUUAUUAAUUGAUGAAAAAAUUAACACUUCCAUUUUGAAAGCAUUCUUAGUUUACAGCAUUUGUUUCACACCUGCCUGAAACUUUUGCACAGUACUGUAUAUCAGAGACAGUUUAAUUAUCAAAGAAAAUUAAUUGAUAUUGGAGAAAGUAUUGAUGGCAUACGUGUUGUAAAUAAACCAAGUGUUUCGACAUUCA
Molecule: long non-coding RNA, 807 nt
Organism: Clupea harengus (Atlantic herring)
Lineage: Eukaryota; Metazoa; Chordata; Actinopteri; Clupeiformes; Clupeidae
Exons: 2
Source: RefSeq, a predicted model, not a curated record